This is a non-coding RNA of Podarcis lilfordi (Lilford's wall lizard), 90 nucleotides long. NCBI's taxonomy places the organism in Eukaryota, Metazoa, Chordata, Lepidosauria, Squamata, Lacertidae. The record is from the annotation of a GenBank genome assembly.
AUGCUCGCUUCGGCAGCACAUAUACUAAAAUUGGAACGAUACAGAGAAGAUUAGCGUGAGGUGUGACUGUCUCCAUUGUUAUUAAUUUUU